UCUAGUGCUGCUGCUUGUGUCUGCCAUUAUAAUGCUUGCAAUGACACACCAAGUUUCCUGUAGAGCUGGUGCUUUUGGGCAUACAAUUGGUGAUCGUGUCCUCUUGGAGGAACAGGCAUCGCCAGUAGAUUUGGCAUCACCGCCUCCAGGAUUGAGAAAACGGGAUCCUGGUUUUUUACCUCGACCUGAUGUGCCACCACUGUCUGGCAAUCCAUAAAGUUCUUCUCCUGCGAGGUACGAACGACUAAUUACGAAACACAACAAGCAAUAAACUUGAAGAGGUUCAAGUC
Selaginella moellendorffii is the source of this 290-nucleotide long non-coding RNA. RefSeq lists it as uncharacterized. The record is from RefSeq and is a predicted model, not a curated record. The transcript is spliced from 2 exons. NCBI's taxonomy places the organism in Eukaryota, Viridiplantae, Streptophyta, Lycopodiopsida, Selaginellales, Selaginellaceae.